RNAcentral lists this long non-coding RNA (402 nucleotides) under Androctonus crassicauda. The record is from RNAcentral. Lineage: Eukaryota; Metazoa; Arthropoda; Arachnida; Scorpiones; Buthidae.
UAGUAAUUUGCUAUGUAAAUUAGAAAAUUCUUAUUGUGAGGUCCCAGAAAAACCUCCACAAAUUAAGUGUAUAAAAGAGAAAAGAAAAUAGGAAAAAUAAGAAAGUUUAGGAAAAGGAAAUGUUUUAAUAAAACGAGAAUUCGAGUAAACAAGGGGAAGAGUCGUUAAGAAGGUCAAGCAGACAUGAAGUUCCGAUGUCCGAGAAGGUGCAAACCCGCACGUAGCACGGCGGCAAUCUUGUUGUUUCCCACUGAUAACAAGAGAAAGUCCACUCCGUCGAAGAAAAUAACAACUUUUAUCUUAAUUUUGUGUCAACACAAAGUUCGGGAGAACAAAGUAAAAUCAACAGAGGACAUUCUAAAACUCCCGAUUGAAUACGCCCGCUAUUGAUAAGACGUCUUU